RNAcentral lists this unclassified non-coding RNA (430 nucleotides) under soil metagenome. RNAcentral describes it as "partial contains 5.8S ribosomal RNA, internal transcribed spacer 2, and large subunit ribosomal RNA". The stretch from base 1 to 120 matches the Rfam family "5.8S ribosomal RNA", at positions 35 to 154 of the family's 154-position model. The record is from RNAcentral.
GAUGAAGAACGCAGCGAAAUGCGAUACGUAAUGUGAAUUGCAGAAUUCAGUGAAUCAUCGAAUCUUUGAACGCAUAUUGCGCUCUCUGGUAUUCCGGAGAGCAUGCUUGUUUGAGUAUCAGUAAACACCUCAACUCCCUUUUCUUUUUUGAAAUUGGAGCUGGACUUGAGUGAUCCCAACGCUUUCUUCCAAGAAAGUGGCGGGUUGCUUGAAAUGCAGGUGCAGCUGAACUUUUCUCUGAGCUAUAAGCAUAUCUAUUUAGUCUGCCUAAAAAACAGAUUAUUACCUUUGAUGCAGCUAACAUAAAGGAGACUAGUUCUUGUGCUGACUGAUGCAGGAUUCACAGAGACAGCUUCGGCUGACUUUGUAAACUCGAUCUCAAAUCAAGUAAGACUACCCGCUGAACUUAAGCAUAUCAAUAAACGGAGGA